GCAUUCUUCAAUAAAUUCUUGAUAUAAAAAUUACAAAUAAUGUUCUUUGAAUGAAAAAGUAACUCACAUAUUUUGCAGAUAGCAUUACAAAGUCCUCAGCAAAUGCAAAAGAACUGAAAUAAUAGCAAACAUACUCUCAGACCACAAUGCAAUUAAAAUAGUAUUCAAGACUAAGAAAAUUACUCAAAACCAUACAAUUACCUGAAAAUUAAACAACCUGCUCCUGAAUGACUUUUGGGUAAAUAAUGAAAUUAAGGCAGUUACAUAAAGUCAUCAACGCAAUAAAAGAGCUUUUUCAUCUGUUAGGGGGAAACUGGCAUCAGCUCCUGCCUAAAAUUCUACCAUCAUUAUUAGCAACUUUUCUGAGUGUAGGCUGAAUGUCAGUUGGGUUAUCUGGAUACCCAACUC
This 408-nucleotide long non-coding RNA is filed under the name Pan troglodytes (chimpanzee). Its description in RNAcentral is "long non-coding RNA NONPTRT014024". Lineage: Eukaryota; Metazoa; Chordata; Mammalia; Primates; Hominidae. The record is from RNAcentral.